CUGUUGCUAUGAUGAGCCAUGAAUGAAUUCACAUGUCAGACUUCAGAGAUUUUUCCUGUCAGGAAAACUCUAUGAGAACAUAUUCAUGAUUCUGAGCACCUU
This is a non-coding RNA of Populus trichocarpa (black cottonwood), 102 nucleotides long. The record is from Rfam. NCBI's taxonomy places the organism in Eukaryota, Viridiplantae, Streptophyta, Magnoliopsida, Malpighiales, Salicaceae.